RNAcentral lists this small nuclear RNA (182 nucleotides) under Triticum aestivum (bread wheat). RNAcentral's name for it is "snRNA U2". It matches the Rfam family "U2 spliceosomal RNA". From Rfam's summary of the family: U2 is a small nuclear RNA (snRNA) component of the spliceosome (involved in pre-mRNA splicing). Complementary binding between U2 snRNA (in an area lying towards the 5' end but 3' to hairpin I) and the branchpoint sequence (BPS) of the intron results the bulging out of an unpaired adenosine, on the BPS, which initiates a nucleophilic attack at the intronic 5' splice site, thus starting the first of two transesterification reactions that mediate splicing. Lineage: Eukaryota; Viridiplantae; Streptophyta; Magnoliopsida; Poales; Poaceae. The record is from Rfam by way of RNAcentral.
AUACCUUUCUCGGCCUUUUGGCUAAGAUCAAGUGUAGUAUCUGUUCUUAUCAGGUUAAUAUCUGAUAUGUGAGGUAUAUCCUCACAAUGAUAUUAAAUUUAUUUUUUUGUGGGGAGGGUCCGCCCACUGGGGCCCUUAGGUGUUGCCUAGGCGUUGCACUACAGCCUGCCACUACAGCCCUG